UACGAAGGGGGCUAGCGUUGCUCGGAAUGACUGGGCGUAAAGGGCGCGUAGGCGGACAGCUUUGUCAGGCGUGAAAUUCCAGGGCUCAACCUUGGGGCUGCGUUUGAGACGGGUUGUCUUGAGUGGAGAAGAGGGUCGUGGAAUUCCCAGUGUAGAGGUGAAAUUCGUAGAUAUUGGGAAGAACACCGGUGGCGAAGGCGGCGACCUGGUCUUUUACUGACGCUGAGGCGCGAAAGCGUGGGGAGCAAACAGG
RNAcentral lists this ribosomal RNA (253 nucleotides) under uncultured bacterium. Its description in RNAcentral is "partial 16S ribosomal RNA". It matches the Rfam family "Bacterial small subunit ribosomal RNA", at positions 524 to 776 of the family's 1533-position model. RNAcentral also lists the same sequence under 1 other name. The record is from RNAcentral.